RNAcentral lists this ribosomal RNA (465 nucleotides) under uncultured Anaerosinus sp. RNAcentral's name for it is "bacterial SSU rRNA". It matches the Rfam family "Bacterial small subunit ribosomal RNA", at positions 338 to 795 of the family's 1533-position model. The record is from RNAcentral. Lineage: Bacteria; Bacillati; Bacillota; Negativicutes; Selenomonadales; Sporomusaceae.
CCUACGGGGGGCUGCAGUGGGGAAUCUUCCGCAAUGGACGAAAGUCUGACGGAGCAACGCCGCGUGAGUGAAGAAGGUUUUCGGAUCGUAAAGCUCUGUCUUCAAGGACGAAUGUAGAUAUUGUGAAUAAUGAUAUUUAAUGACGGUACUUGAGGAGGAAGCCACGGCUAACUACGUGCCAGCAGCCGCGGUAAUACGUAGGUGGCAAGCGUUGUCCGGAAUUAUUGGGCGUAAAGGGAGCGCAGGUGGGAAUAUCAGUCUGUCUUAAAAGUUCGGGGCUCAACCCCGUGAUGGGAUGGAAACUAUAUUUCUUGAGUGCAGGAGAGGAAAGUGGAAUUCCUAGUGUAGCGGUGAAAUGCGUAGAUAUUAGGAGGAACACCAGUGGCGAAGGCGACUUUCUGGACUGUAACUGACACUGAGGCUCGAAAGCCAGGGUAGCGAACGGGCUUAGAUACCCCUGUAGUC